Molecule: ribosomal RNA, 764 nt
Filed under: Diaporthe heveae
Lineage: Eukaryota; Fungi; Ascomycota; Sordariomycetes; Diaporthales; Diaporthaceae
Description: partial large subunit ribosomal RNA
Rfam family: Eukaryotic large subunit ribosomal RNA
Source: RNAcentral
GCUUCUGGCGCGGUGCCUUCCGAGUUCCCUGGAACGGGACGCCACAGAGGGUGAGAGCCCCGUAUGGUCGGACACCAAGCCUGUGUGAAGCUCCUUCGACGAGUCGAGUAGUUUGGGAAUGCUGCUCUAAAUGGGAGGUAAAUCUCUUCUAAAGCUAAAUACCGGCCAGAGACCGAUAGCGCACAAGUAGAGUGAUCGAAAGAUGAAAAGCACCUUGAAAAGGGGGUUAAAUAGUACGUGAAAUUGUUGAAAGGGAAGCACUUAUGACCAGACUUGGGCCGGGCGGCUCAUCAGGGGUUCUCCCCUGUGCACUCCGCCCGGCACAGGCCAGCAUCGGUUCUCGUGGGGGGAUAAGACCGUUAGGAACGUAGCACCCUCCGGGGUGUGUUAUAGCCUGGCGGACGAUACCCUCGUGGGGACCGAGGUUCGCGCUCCGCAAGGAUGCUGGCGUAAUGGUCAUCAGUGACCCGUCUUGAAACACGGACCAAGGAGUCGUCCAUUAGAGCGAGCGUUUGGGUGUAAAACCCGCACGCGUAAUGAAAGUGAACGCAGGUGAGAGCUUCGGCGCAUCAUCGACCGAUCCUGAUGUUCUCGGAAGGAUUUGAGUAAGAGUUUUAACGGACGGACCCGAAAGACAGUGAACUAUGCUUGUAUAGGGUGAAGCCAGAGGAAACUCUGGUGGAGGCUCGCAGCGGUUCUGACGUGCAAAUCGAUCGUCAAAUAUGAGCAUGGGGGCGAAAGACUAAUCGAACUGUCUAGUAGCU